GGGGAUAUAGUUCAGUGGUAGAACGCAUGCUUUGCAAGCAUGAAGCCAUCGGUUCAAAUCCGAUUAUCUCCA
RNAcentral lists this transfer RNA (72 nucleotides) under Cymbomonas tetramitiformis. Its description in RNAcentral is "tRNA-Ala". It matches the Rfam family "tRNA". Rfam says of the family: Transfer RNA (tRNA) molecules are approximately 80 nucleotides in length. Their secondary structure includes four short double-helical elements and three loops (D, anti-codon, and T loops). The record is from RNAcentral. Lineage: Eukaryota; Viridiplantae; Chlorophyta; Pyramimonadophyceae; Pyramimonadales; Pyramimonadaceae.